Molecule: ribosomal RNA, 914 nt
Filed under: uncultured bacterium
Lineage: Bacteria
Description: bacterial SSU rRNA
Rfam family: Bacterial small subunit ribosomal RNA
Source: RNAcentral
GACUGAGUGGCGGACGGGUGAGUAACGCGUGGGUAACCUGCCUUAUACAGGGGGAUAACAGCUGGAAACGGCUGCUAAUACCGCAUAAGCGCACAGUACUGCAUGGUACAGUGUGAAAAGAUUUAUCGGUAUAAGAUGGACCCGCGUCUGAUUAGCUAGUUGGUGGGGUAAAGGCCUACCAAGGCGACGAUCAGUAGCCGGCUUGAGAGAGUGAACGGCCACAUUGGGACUGAGACACGGCCCAAACUCCUACGGGAGGCAGCAGUGGGGAAUAUUGCACAAUGGGGGAAACCCUGAUGCAGCGACGCCGCGUGAGUGAAGAAGUAUUUCGGUAUGUAAAGCUCUAUCAGCAGGGACGAAAAAUGACGGUACUUGACUAAGAAGCCCCGGCUAACUACGUGCCAGCAGCCGCGGUAAUACGUAGGGGGCAAGCGUUAUCCGGAUUUACUGGGUGUAAAGGGAGCGUAGGUGGUUUCAUAAGUCAGAUGUGAAAGCCCAGGGCUCAACCCUGGGACUGCAUUUGAAACUAUGGGACUAGAGUGCAGGAGAGGUAAGUGGAAUUCCUAGUGUAGCGGUGAAAUGCGUAGAUAUUAGGAGGAACACCAGUGGCGAAGGCGGCUUACUGGACUGUAACUGACACUGAGGCUCGAAAGCGUGGGGAGCAAACAGGAUUAGAUACCCUGGUAGUCCACGCCGUANACGAUGAAUACUAGGUGUCGGGGGUCAUAAGACUCUCGGUGCCGCAGCAAACGCAAUAAGUAUUCCACCUGGGGANNNCGUUCGCAAGAAUGAAACUCAAAGGAAUUGACGGGGACCCGCACAAGCGGUGGAGCAUGUGGUUUAAUUCGAAAGCACGCGAAGAACCUUACCAGGNNNNNNCAUCCCUCUGACCGGUCCGUAACGGGACCUUUCCU